This 4134-nucleotide long non-coding RNA is filed under the name Malus domestica (apple). RNAcentral describes it as "long non-coding RNA (MDOM_LNC011005)". Lineage: Eukaryota; Viridiplantae; Streptophyta; Magnoliopsida; Rosales; Rosaceae. The record is from RNAcentral.
CAUGAUGGCUGCCAUGGUGGUGCCCCAUGGGGGUGCUGUUGCUCCACUCGUUGUCAUGUUGAGCCUCGUGGAUCACCGUGGUCUAAAUCCUUGAACGUAGAAAGUUCCGUUCAUUAUGGUUUCCAAAUUUCUAGCCAUUGUACUUUUCUUUUAUGUUUUAUCAAAGAAUUCUUAUAAAAAUUCUAAGAAUAAAAACUACAAAAAAUCUACAAAUGAACAAGAAAUGAGAAACUUUGAAUGCAAGAGUCUUCUUCGAGUGUGUGAAUCAAGACUCUCAAUGAAAGCACCAAUUUGUGGAUACAAAUUUCCGCCGUCUUCUCAUUUGACGAAAAUGCACCUGCAAAAUAAUAACACCUAAGAUCAAGGCCAAGAACCUCACGUGCCCACGAUGAAUGGGGGGGGGAUUUGGCCGAAGAAUCUUCAAUGCCAAAGUUAGAAUUUGAGAGAGAAAGUGUUUAGGAAAUUUUAAGGAGAGAAUGAACUUAGCUUUUUUGAGAAAAAAAAGACUAUUUAUAGGGGUGUGGCCGGCCCUAUUUGGAGAAUAGGGACUGGCCACUUAUAAUGGUUUUAUGAGGUUAAUUGCAAGAUAUUAUGUGAAAUAAUAUCUUGCAAUUAACUUGGUAAUCAAUCCCAAUUUAAAUAGUAUAAUUGGGAGUUAUCUUAUGGGUGAGGAUUUGAUGAAGAGUGAUGAGAGAGUUUUGAAUAAAUACAAUUUUGAUCACCUUUGACUCUUCCUUGAUUGAGUCGUUAUUGUCCAUUGCAUGAGCGUGGGAAUCCCGAUGUGACUUGUCAUUUGCACCUAAAAGUUCACGUGUUACCUCCAUAAUUUUCUUGAUUAUUUUUUACUCUACACCACUCAAGAGUAUUCAAAUUCAAUCCAAACUAUCUAUUAAUAAACCUUUUUUAUCAAUCAAAAAAGAGUGAAAGACAAUUUGAUCUCAUAUCACAAAAUAAAGUAUGGGAUGUAAUGUAAUUUAGUACAAACCAAAUUUUGCUGCUUUUCUUCCCUCGCAUACAACAUAACAUAUCUCUAAUUUUAACCCUAAGAAAAAUACUAAUUAUCCUAUCUCAUCAAUCAACACAUAUUCAGUUUGGUUGAACAUCAUUGGUUGGCAAGCCAGCAACAUAUUCAGUUCGUGGAACAUCACUGAAGUUGUAGAACUCGUCGACUUAGGAGUACCUUUAGUUUGGUAACAACACUACUUCUAGUUCGAUUGGUAAUCUAUCCAAAUCUCUACUGGCGAUGAGUCAUUAAUUCUCUCCCUGAACAAGGUCAUUGAAUGAGGUCACUUCAUUAGUUUUCUUGGCGAACACCACACCACCACAUCCAUUUUACUUGCUCGGUCGAGUUCGGUAGCGAGUUGGCACACCCGCAUCCACAAGAAUGACGUAGUUAGCUCAGUAGAUUACUCGGUCUGCAUGCCAUGUAGGCUUUGUAAUUUUUUAGGUCAACAUAUUGGCACGCCCAGUGGGACCAAGUACUAAAAACUACGAAGUUCAUAUGCUAUGUCAAGGCUCUAAUCCGGCUCCAUCGACCAAUUGGACAAGAUCAAAACUAAAGAAACACAUUCAAAAGUGUGAGAAGAAUAAAAGAACACGGGGAUCUGUUUCAUACAAAAAAUAAAAAAUCUUCAUAAAUGGGAUAGUUCAUCAAGUCACUAAUAUCUCAGGGGUUUGCUCUCCGAUGAAACCCCUUCCGCUUGCUAGAGUCAUGCUCUUUAAAAGCCCUAAGAAAUAGGCUUCAAUCAAGUUGUUCCUAGAAAAAAUUAUGAUUCAAGCCAGACCAAAUACAUCUAUUGAGUGAGAGAAAGGGAGAAAACUAUAAUUAUAUAUUCUUCAAGAAGCAAAAAAAAAUCUUCAUGCACAUGAAGAUAUGCAAAAAUCUUUCGCCCACAUGUUGAAAAUGGGAAAAGCCUGUUUAGUAUGCGGCUAGAUGAGAAAGACUUCCCUUAUGUUUCUGCAUACAAAUCAAUUAUAUUUGAAGUGUGGUUGGAUCGAAAUGUCGAAAUUCGUCUGAAAUGGAAAACUUGAUUGACUUAAAAGAACAAAUUGAAAAUUUUGAGCCAAAUACAAAAAUUGAUUCAGAAUGCGAUUUAUCUAAUUGAAUACUUCAAUGAUGACCAAGGUCGAAGCACAACCUCAUACGAAAAAACUAUGUCAAUUGAUAUGGUUGUUGAAGAUAACGCCGAUAUAGCGCAAUCUCAUUCAGCGGGGUUAUCCAAGUUAAAAGCUCAAAUUGGUGAAGUCAUUAUGUUCAUGGGGUAUAAUAACUCAGCCUACUUUGCAACCAAAUAUCAAGAAUAUUUGUCGAAUGUCGUCGUGAUUUCAUCUUAAAAUCUAAAACAAACCCAGAUUGGCGACACUGAUAUGAAAAAAACUCGACUAGGAAUAAAGCAUCGAUGGGCUCCUCCUCCUCAUAAUUAGGCCACUUUUGUUUUCGUUUUCUAGGAAAAUAAUAACUUUUAUUCUUUUUAACCAUUUGGCUGUUCAAACCGAUGCAUAAGAAAAUAAGGAGGAAACAAACGUCGGUUGUCUAAAAUAAAAGAAAAUUGGAAUACUAUUAGAAUUUUACAACUCGUCAGACUUGGCCAUCGCAAAUUCACUUAUAUAAAUAUGAGGUUUUUUAACGUAGAGGCCCCAUAAACUCAACAAAAAACUCAAAACGCCUACGCAAAACCUUCUCACGACCCUAAGAAAUACUAAUUAUCAUAACCCUUCCGUUAGCACAUAUUUAGUUCAGUUGAACAUCACUGAGUUGGCAAACCAGCAACAUAUUUAGUUUGGUGAAAUAUCAUUAGAGAGUUAGAACUGGUUGGCUUAGGAGUACCUUCAGUUUGGUUAAACAACACUACUUUUAGUUCGCUUGGUUGUCUAUCCAAGUCUCUGCCAAUGAGGAGUCAUUGAUUCUUGAUAAGCUUAUAUUUAUAUAUAUUUUACAUAAAAUUCACUUGUCUUUUCUUAGUUAGUUCCUUAUAUUUUUGAGCUAUUUACUAUGUUUUUGUGUUUUGUGUGAUUUAUCAAGCAAAGAAAAGAAAAGUAGCACAAGUGAGUUAUUAAGUAACAAAUUCGUCAAAACUGCCUGUGCAGAUUAGCUGACUUUGGAAGCAUGUUACAAACAGCUCAGAAUGAAUGAGAGAAUGAGCCUUAUAUGGUGGAAAGCUACGGAUGUCUAUUUUCUGGAGCAAUUUACAGAUUGUUAAUAUCAUUUUUCUAGAAGAAGUUAUGGGUAUUGUAACACUGAAAGGUUCAGAAAAGGGCUAAGCAGAUUUGACUAAUAAAAUGAGAAAGUAAAGGCACUUGUUUUGUGUUUUGCUUUGUCAUUAACACUCAGCAGCAAAUGGGGUUAUGAUUGCACUCAUUUGGCUUUGGAGCAAGUGGAAAUGCACAGCUAGAAGAUGAACAAGGCACAUGGAAGAAACAUGGACAGCACACAUACAAAGAGAAAGGCAAGGCAUGGACAGUUUGACAUGGGCAGAAAAUGGGUGGAUUGUUGGCUGAAAUAAUGAAGAACAUGUGUGUGAAAAUGCAAAGGAAAAACACACACACAUGGGCAAAGGAAACACACACACAUGGGCAGAAAAUGGGUUGAUUUGUGGCUGAAAUGAUGGAGGUCAUGUGUGUGCAAAUGUAAAGGGAAACAUGGACAUCACACACUCACCCACUACACCCAUUACAUCCACUCAUUACCAAACACUCAUCCACCUUACCCAUUACAUCCACUCAUUACCAAACAUUCAUCCACUACACCCAUUACAUCCACUCAUUACCACAACACUCAUCACUACCACCUUAAUUAGAUGGUGGUCCUCUCCCUAGCCUAUAAAUACAUCCACCCUUCACCAUAACAAGGGAGAAGAAAACAAAAGAGAACACAAUCCGCCCAUCCACCCUUCACCAUAACUCACCUAUAUCCAUCAAACCACACCUUGUGCCGCAACAAAGAGAAGAAGGAGUACCCUUGGACGUGCUUGCCAUUCAAGUUGGAUUGUUUGAGCAUUUUUAGGUGUUUUCUUUCUUUUGUUUUCAAUGUCUAAAUUUAUUUAUCUUUGCUUUGUAAGUAUGAGGAACUAAACCUCCCUUAGCUAGGGGGAAUUCGAAACCAUGUUCAUGCUUGCAAUAUGAUUUGAUUACUUU